RNAcentral lists this ribosomal RNA (573 nucleotides) under Trichoderma spirale. RNAcentral describes it as "eukaryotic LSU rRNA". The stretch from base 190 to 343 matches the Rfam family "5.8S ribosomal RNA". The record is from RNAcentral. Lineage: Eukaryota; Fungi; Ascomycota; Sordariomycetes; Hypocreales; Hypocreaceae.
GUCAACUCCCAACCCAAUGUGAACGUUACCAAACUGUUGCCUCGGCGGGAUCUCUGCCCCGGGUGCGUCGCAGCCCCGGACCAAGGCGCCCGCCGGAGGACCAACCAAAACUCUUUUGUAUACCCCCUCGCGGGUUUUUAUAUCUGAGCCAUCUCGGCGCCUCUCGUAGGCGUUUCGAAAAUGAAUCAAAACUUUCAACAACGGAUCUCUUGGUUCUGGCAUCGAUGAAGAACGCAGCGAAAUGCGAUAAGUAAUGUGAAUUGCAGAAUUCAGUGAAUCAUCGAAUCUUUGAACGCACAUUGCGCCCGCCAGUAUUCUGGCGGGCAUGCCUGUCCGAGCGUCAUUUCAACCCUCGAACCCCUCCGGGGGGUCGGCGUUGGGGAUCGGCCCUUUACGGGGCCGGCCCCGAAAUACAGUGGCGGUCUCGCCGCAGCCUCUCCUGCGCAGUAGUUUGCACACUCGCAUCGGGAGCGCGGCGCGUCCAUUGCCGUAAAACACCCAACUUUCUGAAAUGUUGACCUCGGAUCAGGUAGGAAUACCCGCUGAACUUAAGCAUAUCAAUAAGCGGAGGAA